Molecule: ribosomal RNA, 477 nt
Filed under: uncultured Gammaproteobacteria bacterium
Lineage: Bacteria; Pseudomonadati; Pseudomonadota; Gammaproteobacteria
Description: bacterial SSU rRNA
Rfam family: Bacterial small subunit ribosomal RNA
Source: RNAcentral
AUAUCGCGAGCCUACGGGAGGCAGCAGUGGGGAAUAUUGCACAAUGGAGGAAACUCUGAUGCAGCAAUGCCGCGUGUGUGAAGAAGGCCCUAGGGUUGUAAAGCACUUUCAAUAGGGAGGAAAAGCAAGUAGUUAAUAGCUGCUUGCCGUGACGUUACCUUCAGAAGAAGCACCGGCUAACUCUGUGCCAGCAGCCGCGGUAAUACAGAGGGUGCAAGCGUUAAUCGGAAUUACUGGGCGUAAAGCGCGCGUAGGUGGUUUGUUAAGUCGGAUGUGAAUGCCCAGGGCUCAACCUUGGAAUUGCACCCGAUACUGGCAGGCUAGAGUACGAUAGAGGAGUGUGGAAUUUCCUGUGUAGCGGUGAAAUGCGUAGAUAUAGGAAGGAACAUCAGUGGCGAAGGCGACACUCUGGAUUGAUACUGACACUGAGGUGCGAAAGCGUGGGGAGCAAACAGGAUUAGAUACCCUCGUAGUCCA